This 72-nucleotide transfer RNA is filed under the name Schistosoma mansoni. The record is from RNAcentral. Lineage: Eukaryota; Metazoa; Platyhelminthes; Trematoda; Strigeidida; Schistosomatidae.
GGAUCCAAAGCCGAGUGUAUAACGCGAUGGCGUUUGAAGCGAAAGGUACUGGGUUCGAGUCCCAGAGUGAUC